Molecule: long non-coding RNA, 722 nt
Organism: Dreissena polymorpha
Lineage: Eukaryota; Metazoa; Mollusca; Bivalvia; Myida; Dreissenidae
Exons: 3
Source: RefSeq, a predicted model, not a curated record
ACACGGCGUUUAUCCAUCGUACUUUCCAGAAAGAUAGUUGUAUGUUUUAAUGUUUGGGAAUAUCGAUAGUUUCAUUUCUAGUUAUUAACCAGAGUACUUAAAAGCAUAGAGGAAGGAUGGUUGUGUACAGGAUUUGACCAUGUGGCUAUUGUUGGGAAGUUUCAAUCCGCAAUCAUUUAUCGAGCGUAGUUAACGCAUGGGUGCGCCAGUACACACGAAGUCAUGAGGUCGGCGUGUUGACAAUAUACAGGCAAUUGACUGCAGGUUGAGUAGGGUUAAAGGCAGCGCAGUUUAAAAGAUAGUGAUGUUCAGAGCCAACCUGACCAGAGUUACACAGUGUACACGUUCUUUCAUCAAAUGGGGUUCCAUCGUAUCUGCCAGUUUCAACUGGUAACCAGUGGUUAGCUGUUCGGAAUUUAAAGAGAACCCAUGCUUUCCCAAAACAGGACGAUGUUCGCAAAUUGAUGCUUGGCAAGACCUAUUUGAUUGAUUGCCUCUCCUAUUCCGACGUCUUUUCCAAGAUGGACUACACAAAUAAAUACACGUCAUUAAAAGAAACACAUAAUAAGUCCCAUAACGGUACACCAAACGGACUACAGGUCAACCAUCGGUCCGAUCCAUUCGUAAUUUCGUCUUUCUACUUGGCCGAUUGACCAUACGAGUCGGGUUAUAUGAUAUAUAAAAUAGGACUUGAGCUAGGUUGAUGAAACUUGAUAUGUGAA